This 71-nucleotide transfer RNA is filed under the name Ictidomys tridecemlineatus (thirteen-lined ground squirrel). RNAcentral describes it as "Spermophilus tridecemlineatus (thirteen-lined ground squirrel) tRNA". It matches the Rfam family "tRNA". Rfam says of the family: Transfer RNA (tRNA) molecules are approximately 80 nucleotides in length. Their secondary structure includes four short double-helical elements and three loops (D, anti-codon, and T loops). The record is from Rfam by way of RNAcentral. Lineage: Eukaryota; Metazoa; Chordata; Mammalia; Rodentia; Sciuridae.
GUGGCUGUGGCUCAGUGGUAGAGCGCUCACCUAGCACGUGCAGGGAGCUGGGUUCGACUCUCAGCACCACA